This 1359-nucleotide ribosomal RNA is filed under the name uncultured bacterium. RNAcentral describes it as "bacterial SSU rRNA". It matches the Rfam family "Bacterial small subunit ribosomal RNA", at positions 28 to 1381 of the family's 1533-position model. The record is from RNAcentral.
GAUGAACGCUAGCUACAGGCUUAACACAUGCAAGUCGAGGGGCAUCAGGAAGAAAGCUUGCUUUCUUUGCCGGCGACCGGCGCACGGGUGAGUAACACGUAUCCAACCUGCCCUUUACUCGGGGAUAGCCUUUCGAAAGAAAGAUUAAUACCCGAUGGCAUAAUGAUUCCGCAUGGUUUCAUUAUUAAAGGAUUCCGGUAAAGGAUGGGGAUGCGUUCCAUUAGGUUGUUGGUGAGGUAACGGCCCACCAAGCCUUCGAUGGAUAGGGGUUCUGAGAGGAAGGUCCCCCACAUUGGAACUGAGACACGGUCCAAACUCCUACGGGAGGCAGCAGUGAGGAAUAUUGGUCAAUGGGCGCUAGCCUGAACCAGCCAAGUAGCGUGAAGGAUGAAGGCUCUAUGGGUCGUAAACUUCUUUUAUAUAAGAAUAAAGUGCAGUAUGUAUACUGUUUUGUGUGUAUUAUAUGAAUAAGGAUCGGCUAACUCCGUGCCAGCAGCCGCGGUAAUACGGAGGAUCCGAGCGUUAUCCGGAUUUAUUGGGUUUAAAGGGAGCGUAGGUGGACUGGUAAGUCAGUUGUGAAAGUUUGCGGCUCAACCGUAAAAUUGCAGUUGAUACUGUCAGUCUUGAGUACAGUAGAGGUGGGCGGAAUUCGUGGUGUAGCGGUGAAAUGCUUAGAUAUCACGAAGAACUCCGAUUGCGAAGGCAGCUCACUGGACUGCAACUGACACUGAUGCUCGAAAGUGUGGGUAUCAAACAGGAUUAGAUACCCUGGUAGUCCACACAGUAAACGAUGAAUACUCGCUGUUUGCGAUAUACAGUAAGCGGCCAAGCGAAAGCAUUAAGUAUUCCACCUGGGGAGUACGCCGGCAACGGUGAAACUCAAAGGAAUUGACGGGGGCCCGCACAAGCGGAGGAACAUGUGGUUUAAUUCGAUGAUACGCGAGGAACCUUACCCGGGCUUAAAUUGCAGUGGAAUGAUGUGGAAACAUGUCAGUGAGCAAUCACCGCUGUGAAGGUGCUGCAUGGUUGUCGUCAGCUCGUGCCGUGAGGUGUCGGCUUAAGUGCCAUAACGAGCGCAACCCUUAUCUUUAGUUACUAACAGGUUAUGCUGAGGACUCUAGAGAGACUGCCGUCGUAAGAUGUGAGGAAGGUGGGGAUGACGUCAAAUCAGCACGGCCCUUACGUCCGGGGCUACACACGUGUUACAAUGGGGGGUACAGAAGGCAGCUAGCGGGUGACCGUAUGCUAAUCCCAAAAGCCUCUCUCAGUUCGGAUCGAAGUCUGCAACCCGACUUCGUGAAGCUGGAUUCGCUAGUAAUCGCGCAUCAGCCACGGCGCGGUGAAUACGUUCCCGGGCCU